GUGUUGGUUUCCUGGGAAAAUAAUAAUGUAUUCUUGGAAGCACUUCUAGUUAUUCAUGUAAUUUAAAAAGUACACCUAUAAAGGGAGAAGAAGCAUGUGAAUUUGUCAGGGAAAGAAAAGAAGAGCGAAGCAGGAAAUGAGGAAGAAGGGAGUUAUGGAAAAGAAGCAGUUGGGAGGAGCACAGUGAGAAUUGAGGAAAGUUUGUUUUUACCGUCAUUCUUGCUCUCUGACAACUUACUUAGUUUUCAGCUCUGUUUAUCAGAUUGUUGUGCAAUUUAUCAUAUUAAUUUUUUAUACUUUCAUAUUUAAUUGAUAAUUUAUUAUUUUAAAAUAAUUCCUAAUCCCCUCACAUCCUUUAAGUGUUCAAAUAUCACUUUGUCAGACAGUAUACUGACUAAGAUUCUGUGACCUGACACCCCUCGCCAAUCCCUGUACUUUGGAGCUCCCUUACCGUGUUCCACUUGUUCAUCGUUUCAUUGCACUUGUCACCUUCUGGGAAGAAUUGUAAUUUACUUAUUUGUUAUUUUUGUUUCAAUCUGAUUUUGCCACUCCCUCCCCUUCCACCCCCACCCCCCACCCCUGGAAUAGAAGCUCCUUGAACUCAUGUAACUUAAGAGACUGUUUUACUCAUUCACCUUAUAUAUAUCUAUGAUAGUUGCAUACUGGGCUGGGUGUUCGGUGGCUUGUGUGUUCUCAUUUUAUCACUUGACAUGGAAGUAUGUGUGUUUAAAGAUGAGUUGUUGCUUGAGCUGAUGCCUGCCUCCUGAAAUGUCUCUAUAACAUAGCUUAGUAAGAUAUUAACAAAUCCCAGUGAAACACGUCUGCUCUACUGUUGUCUCCAGCUCCUGGUCUCUUCAAACUUUUAAAACUGUCAUAGAUUACUGGAAACACAACUGCAUUUGAAAUUAUGUCAAUACAACAGUAGUUGCAGAUGCUCCAUUAAGGGUUUAAAAACUAAAUUGUCAGCCAAAGAAAAUGGCUUGUAAAUGUUUGGCCAUCACUCCAGUCCUGCAGAAGUAAGUUUUGUGGCAAUGAGGGAAGUGGGGCUCCCUGCUCACUAACACAUAAAUGACUAAACUGGAGAGAUUUCUUAGGGUGUCUGCUAACCAGUGGUGUGGAUAUGUAACUGGAUGCUGGUAUUGCAGUGCAGUUGUAGUGAAAAUCCAGGAGGUGAUGAAAGACAGUCUAUGGUAAUAGAACUGGAGGAACUUGGGGGAUUGGAUCAACUAGGUACAGUCUUGCUGCUCCCUCUUUUUCAUUUGUAUAAGCAUUUUUUCUACAAUCUAGAAAGUGCAGUGCAGUGCUUUCCAAUUUAAUUGAUGGCCCGGUCUGGCAUAAGUGAUUCCACAUGGUGGUUGACAAAUGACUCUUGGGUUAGCCCUCCACCCCUCUUAUUCAAGAAAUAGACAAAUUAGCAGAAUUUUCUCUUUUCUCUAUAGAACUAUCACUUGCACAUCUAUUUAUCUAUCUUAGAUGAAAUUUUAAAUAUUUUAUAAACUGAUGAGACCUCUUGUUCUUGGUUUCGGCAGAAAGUGGAAUAUCAUAAAUAAAAUUGUCUUACAUUCUCAGUCAUCGGGUUGAUGGAUGGUUAAAGGAAAAGCAGCAUCCUGGGUUUUUCAGAGGCAUUGCUAUGCUUAGAUCAGAUUAUAUGGUGACUUGUAGUGUAACCAUGCUAAUAUCUCUUUACACAAGAAAAAUUUCUUCUAAAUAACAAUAUCAAUUUUGGACUGCUCAAGGGAUUUAGUAGAAAGGCUUAGAACAUGGCAGUGGUAAUAGAUACUCAGAAGGUCAAAAAUUCUCAGCUAGAGAAUGGUUCAAUAUGCUCAUUUAUCACUUUCCACUUUUGCUCAUAUAAAACAAAGACAUACAACUAGGUGUAAGGUCAAGUACUGUACCAGCACAAUCAGGCUUUAAAAAAAGUAAAGCAAAUCCCAAUUUACUACUGUCAGUUCACAGAAUUCACUCUGAUAUAAUCUUCAUGUUGUAGAUAUUUCUGAUUGAGGUGUUCCCAAAACUCAUGGGCAGAAAUAAACUGAAUGACAAACGAUGUGACUCUUCCACAUAUAUAACACAUGUCAUCUAAAAAUUGUAAUGCACAUAUAAUUACCUAGUUAAUAAUUUUCUAGAAAAAUACUGAUGAAAAUAAUCUGAAUUUACCAAGAAUCAGACAGAGACAAUUGAGAGAAAACAAAGUGAAAGCUUUCUUUAAUCUAUUGGUUAGGCUAGAUUGGACAGAUGGCUUUUACAACAUUCUUGGGAGAAUUCACAAUUUAGGAUUCAUAAGCUGUGAUCCUCAGAUGAGGACAGUGGAUACUCACGCACAUUACUGAAGCCAAGUGGUAGGACGAUACACUGCAUCCAAGCUGUUUCCAUGAGUGAAUAGGCUCUAGCCUUUCUGGCUUGUUUUCUCGGUGCUGGAGAAGACAUCACACAUUCUUUGGAAGUAGAGUCCAACCCAAAACUCCACUAGAUCUCCUGUCCUGCCUCUGUGUGGUCUGGGUGACCCACUUUAGCCUGAAGGAGCUCUGGGAAAUUCGAUACGUCUACAACCAGUUUAAGGGCUACUCCUGGGUGGUCCUUAGCAGUUAAUAGGGUUUGAUUCCGGGGCCAUUAUAUGAGAUUCAGAGAAGCCCAAGAAUCUGGGCCUGGACAAGAUCCAGUCUGUUAAGAAUGGUGAUUACUCCUGAGCGUUUCAAUAUAUAAACUGGAAGGACUAGAGCAGUUCUGGGAGAAUGUACAGAUAACAUCAAACACACCUCACCAACUCUGCAGCCAUCUUGGUUACCAUCUAACAAGGUCCAACUCAAGGCACCAUUUUCAGAUUGAGCAAUAACUAGGCAUUAAGACAGGUGUCCAGAACUUUCCAGGAAUGGCCUUAUGACUAGAAAGACCCAAAGGCAUUUGCUUUAAUCUACUUAGAUUCAGUGAUUUCUCUAAAUGAUAUCAAUUCUUAAUUAUAUGCACAUUAAUAAAAGAACUGAGAUGUGGCAAAUCUAAAACUCAUUUAUAUUUUAUUAUAAAAAAUAGUGGGUAGGGCUUCCCUGGUGGCGCAGUGGUUGAGAGUCCGCCUGCCAAUGCAGGGGACACGGGUUCGUGCCCCGGUCCGGGAAGACCCCACAUGCCGCGGAGUGGCUGGGCCCGUGAGCCAUGGCCGCUGAGCCUGUGUGUCCAGAGCCUGUGCUCCGCAACGGGAGAGGCCACAACAGUGAGAGGCCCACACACCGCAAAAAAAAAAAAAGUGGGUAGUGGAAAGAGCAUGUGCUUUGGAGACAGCCAGUCCUGAGUUUGAAUUCUCACUCCCCAUUUACUGGCAGAGAGACUGGCUGAGAGACUUGGGGCGUUAUCCCAAGAGGUAAUACGUGCAGAAAAUAUCAAGGAUUAUUCAAAAAAUGUUCAGAUAUGUUUGUAUGUGUCAAUCUUGUAAGAAAAGUAACAAUGUUUCAACCGUAAAAACCUACUUGCAAUUGCAAAAUGCCUCUUUUAUCUGUCUCCAUAGCAAUCAUUAGCAUCUAACAUAAUGUAUAUUUUACAUAUUUACCUCGCUUGCUCCCUGUCUCCCAUCCCCACUUUCCCCCCAAAAGUAAGAGUUCACGGUUGCAGGAAUUUACUGUCUGCUUUGCUCACCAUUGCAUCCUCAGGAACUGCAGUAGAAACUGGUACAUAGUGUCGGGUGGAGUUUCCUGAUUGUGGCAGGAGUGGCCAAGGCCUGAUGGGUCCUCUCUGCAGUGGUUGGGAGUCAGUCCUCCAGGCCCACUUGGAGCCUCCUCUGCUGCCUUGCCCGGAUUGGUAGGCACCAGUUAAGUGAGUUAAUCGUUUUUCUGCUUAAAAUUGCUUAAGUUCAUUCAUUUUUCUGAGUCUGAACCGUUGUUAUAAUUUAGUAAAGGAAUUAUUUAGAAAUAGCUGUUCUGUGAAUUCACACUAUAAAGGCAGAGGGUGGGGCUUAUUUUGUUCUUCACUUCUGAUCUAAAGAGAGGGCUUUAAGAGAACAUUGAGAAUCUAGUUCAGUCCAUGGCAGACUGGGGGAGACACCGGAGCCUAGAGUCUGACUUCGGCUGUUAAGUAUAAAGGUCACAAAUGAGUGACUAGCCAGCAGCUGGUAAAUAAGCCAAGGAGGGGGGAAGCAGGGACUAACUCUUGUGUUUAGAAGUUCUCAAAGACACCUGAGCCAUCCGACCCGCACCAUAUACGGGCCGUGUGUGAGAAAGAACCUGCAUGAGAUCAUCUCAGUUUCUGCAGGCUCCUCUCUGAAGGAGAGGAUGUGAUCUCAAGGGAGAGAUGCUGAAGAGGCCCAGACCCUGAAGGAUUCUCAAUGGAUACAAAAGGAGUAAUCAACCAACCUCUUCCCUAGAGAUGGAGGUUUCUGAAGAACCUAAGAAACACUCUGAGUCAGCUUUAUGUCUGCAGGCCUCAGGGAUUACCACGCCAGCUCAGAACAAUACCCUCAACGGGGGACUUUUGAUCACUGAAUGGGAGUCGACCUUCUGAUUGAGCUACAUUUGAAGACUCAAGGUGAGGUAGGUGGUAUCUCCCUCUUCGGCAGAUGAGGAACCGAACGCACUGGAGAUUUAAAUGAUUUGCCCAAAGUCACAGUAAGUUGCAACCUGAUUUUAUUUUAUUUGAUUUGUUUUUUUACUGUUAAAAUUGAGAUGUAAUUCACAUACCAUAAAAUGUAUACAUAAAGUUUACAAUUCAGUGGUUUUUAGUAUAUUCACAAAGUCGUGCAACUAUCAACACUAUCUAGUACCAGAAUAUUUCCAUCAUACCAAAAAGAAACCCCAUACUCAUGAAGCAGUAACUCCCCAUAUCCCUCGGCAACCAUUAAUCUAUUUUCGAACUCUAUGGAUGUGCGUAUUCUGGACAAUUAAUAUAAACAGGAUCAUACAAUAUGCAACCUUUGUGUCUGGCUUCUUUCACUUAGUAUAAUUUUUUAAAUAAAUUUAUUUUAUUUAGUUUUG
This is a long non-coding RNA of Orcinus orca (killer whale), 4955 nucleotides long. RefSeq lists it as uncharacterized. NCBI's taxonomy places the organism in Eukaryota, Metazoa, Chordata, Mammalia, Artiodactyla, Delphinidae. The record is from RefSeq and is a predicted model, not a curated record. The transcript has 3 exons.